UACGGGGGGAGCAAGCGUUGUUCGGAUUUACUGGGCGUAAAGGGCGCGUAGGCGGUCAGCACAAGUCAGUUGUGAAAUCUCCGGGCUUAACUCGGAAAGGUCAACUGAUACUGUGCGACUAGAGUGCGGAAGGGGCAACUGGAAUUCUCGGUGUAGCGGUGAAAUGCGUAGAUAUCGUGAGGAACGCCAGAGGCGAAGGCGGCUACCUGGACAAUUGCUGACGCUCAGGCACGAAAGCGUGGGGAGCAAAAGGG
Molecule: ribosomal RNA, 254 nt
Filed under: uncultured bacterium
Lineage: Bacteria
Description: partial 16S ribosomal RNA
Rfam family: Bacterial small subunit ribosomal RNA
Source: RNAcentral